UUCAUGCAAUUUGAUUAACCUAAUAAUCCUUCUUGCCCACUCUCCAGGCAGCCUUUCGCCUUCGAUUUGCUUCGGCUUCGCUGCCUUUAUACCCUCUUAUCCUGCCCUCCAUCUCGAUCUCGCCCUUGAGACCAAUAGCUAGGGCUCUGGCGCUUUGCUACCAUACUUGAAUGCUUUGCUGCCUAUUCAUUUCUUCUGCUCACCGACCGAAGACCAGGUAGGGUUUCAACUUUUCAGUUUUGGUUUUUGUAUUGGCUCUUUAGUCUCUUUGCAGCACGCACGGGAGACAUCGGUUGAUUAGAAGAAAAGGGGAUCUGACAUCCCUAGAUCACGAGUAUCGCAGAAGCAGAGAAGGACCAGAGGCGAGCAUGAAGAUAGCAGCCGCGAUUCAGGUACAAUCUCUAUUACUUACCAGGAAACAUUCGUUUUCCAUUCCGAAAAAUUAGGGCACUAACCAGUCUCACAGAUUGUGGAACUCCGGACUGGCUUAAGGUUAAUGUUGACGGGGCGGUCCUUCAGGAUGAGAACAGGAGGGCUCAUUUGUGCAAUGGCCAUCACUUGCAACAUUAGGACAGCCGUUUUGUGGAACUCCAGGCUAUUCUAUCUAUUUGCAACAUCUUCCAGCUGUAGAUGUUCGAGACCAGAGGCAUCAUCGUGGAGAGCGGUAACAUCAAUGUCAUCAAUUACAUGAGGAGAUCGAUGGGUCAUGGAAGCUGAAAGGAAAACGUGGAUCAACGCCACAAGUUUAUUUUUUUCA
Molecule: RNA transcript, 757 nt
Organism: Phalaenopsis equestris
Lineage: Eukaryota; Viridiplantae; Streptophyta; Magnoliopsida; Asparagales; Orchidaceae
Exons: 2
Source: RefSeq, a predicted model, not a curated record